Molecule: long non-coding RNA, 505 nt
Organism: Vidua chalybeata
Lineage: Eukaryota; Metazoa; Chordata; Aves; Passeriformes; Viduidae
Exons: 3
Source: RefSeq, a predicted model, not a curated record
UCCGAGGGACAUGAAGACCACCUAAUCCAUGAUCAAACUGGCUUGGACAACCUGGCUGCGACAGUGGAACCCUCCUAAAAAACGGGUGCCAAGAGACAUUAACUGGUGUUGUGGGAACAGAAUUGGGAAUCAGUUCAGAGCUCCAGUUACCUUACAUGAACUUUUAGAAUCCAAUCUCAUGUUGAUUCACAAGCUACUGCCUACUCCCAUUGGGAUGAACCUUACUUUGGUAAAGCAACUAUUACUUCAUCAAGAUCUAAUAGAGAUCCUAGGAAAAAUCAAGGAGAAUGGACAGAAAACUCUGGUAACUGUUCAUCAUGAUGUGCAAGAAAUACAUCGUGUUGUAGAAAGGGUGGAAAGUGAUGCCGAGCACAAGUGGUGGGAUACCCUUUUCGGGUGGUCACCCACCGCCACCGGUAUCCUGAACAAAUUGUGCCAUCCCGUUGUUGUUCUUCUGAUUUUAGUUAUGAUUGGUUUUGUUUUAUCAGUAAUCUUGCUUAUUGUA